UAGCUAAUUAUCGAGUAUACAGCUAGAGA
RNAcentral lists this non-coding RNA (29 nucleotides) under Mus musculus (house mouse). Lineage: Eukaryota; Metazoa; Chordata; Mammalia; Rodentia; Muridae. The record is from RNAcentral.